GUCGGCAGCUAGCUCUCUGCAACUCUCACAUGGUUGCUCAUUGAAGCUAAGCAGGGCUGUGCCCGGUCAGUACCUGGAUGGGAGACCACAGGGGAAAGCUAGGUUGCUGCCGGAA
This 115-nucleotide ribosomal RNA is filed under the name Danio rerio (zebrafish). The record is from RNAcentral. Lineage: Eukaryota; Metazoa; Chordata; Actinopteri; Cypriniformes; Danionidae.